RNAcentral lists this ribosomal RNA (1533 nucleotides) under uncultured bacterium. RNAcentral's name for it is "bacterial SSU rRNA". It matches the Rfam family "Bacterial small subunit ribosomal RNA". The record is from RNAcentral.
AGAGUUUGAUCCUGGCUCAGGACGAACGCUGGCGGCGUGCCUAACACAUGCAAGUCGAACGGUCUAAUGCUUAACACUGAGUAUUCAGUAAAGUUGGAACACGGACGGGUGAGUAACGCGUGGGUAACCUACCCAUAAACCCGGGACAACCCUUGGAAACGAGGGCUAAUACCGGAUAAUCUUAAGGCUUGGCAUCAAGUUUUAAGGAAAGGUGGCCUCUGAAAAUGCUACCGAUUAUGGAUGGACCCGCGUCUGAUUAGCUAGUUGGUGGGGUAAAGGCCUACCAAGGCGACGAUCAGUAGCCGGCCUGAGAGGGUGAACGGCCACACUGGGACUGAGACACGGCCCAGACUCCUACGGGAGGCAGCAGUGGGGAAUCUUCCGCAAUGGACGAAAGUCUGACGGAGCAACGCCGCGUGUAUGAUGAAGGUCUUCGGAUUGUAAAGUACUGUCUUUGGGGAAGAACGGUAUGCUUGAAAAUAUUGAGCGUACAUGACGGUACAAUAAGAGGAAGCCACGGCUAACUACGUGCCAGCAGCCGCGGUAAUACGUAGGUGGCAAACGUUGUCCGGAAUUACUGGGCGUAAAGGGCGAGUAGGUGGUUUGCUAAGUCAGAAGUGAAAACUCCGGGCUCAACUCGGAGACUGCUCCUGAAACUGGUAGACUUGAGUGCAAGAGAGGGAAGUGGAAUUCCUAGUGUAGCGGUGAAAUGCGUAGAUAUUAGGAGGAACACCAGUGGCGAAGGCGACUUCCUGGCUUGUAACUGACACUGAGGCGCGAAAGCGUGGGGAUCAAAAGGAUUAGAUACCCUGGUAGUCCACGCCGUAAACGAUGAGUGCUAGGUGUCGGGGGUAUCGACCCCCUCGGUGCCACAGCUAACGCAAUAAGCACUCCGCCUGGGGAGUACGGCCGCAAGGUUAAAACUCAAAGGAAUUGACGGGGGCCCGCACAAGCGGUGGAGUAUGUGGUUUAAUUCGAUGAUACGCGAGAAACCUUACCUGGUCUUGACAUCCCGUGACCGCUAUGGAAACAUGAGNNNNNNNNNNNNNNNNNGGCAGUGGUGACAGGUGGUGCAUGGUUGUCGUCAGCUCGUGUCGUGAGAUGUUGGGUUAAGUCCCGCAACGAGCGCAACCCUUGUCAUUAGUUGCCAGCAGUUCGGCUGGGCACUCUAGAGAGACUGCCGAGGAUAACGGGGAGGAAGGUGGGGAUGACGUCAAAUCAUCAUGCCCCUUAUGUUCUGGGCUACACACGUACUACAAUGGCCUGAACAGAGGGAAGCAAAACUGCGAAGUUAAGCGAAUCCCUUAAAACAGGUCCCAGUUCGGAUUGUAGGCUGCAACUCGCCUACAUGAAGUCGGAAUCGCUAGUAAUCGCAGGUCAGCAUACUGCGGUGAAUACGUUCCCGGGCCUUGUACACACCGCCCGUCACACCACGAAAGUCGGCAACACCCGAAGCCGGUGACUCAACCCGAAAGGGAGAGAGCCGUCGAAGGUGGGGUUGGUAAUUGGGGUGAAGUCGUAACAAGGUAACCU